AGUGGCGGACGGGUGAGUAACGCGUGAGAAUCUGCCUUGGGGUCGGGGACAACCACUGGAAACGGUGGCUAAUACCGGAUAAGCCGAUUGGUGAAAGAUUUAUUGCCCGAAGAGGAGCUCGCGUCUGAUUAGCUAGUUGGUGAGGUAAGAGCUCACCAAGGCAGCGAUCAGUAGCUGGUCUGAGAGGACGAUCAGCCACACUGGGACUGAGACACGGCCCAGACUCCUACGGGAGGCAGCAGUGGGGAAUUUUCCGCAAUGGGCGAAAGCCUGACGGAGCAAGACCGCGUGAGGGAGGAAGGCUCUUGGGUUGUAAACCUCUUUUCUCAGGGAAGAAGCUCUGACGGUACCUGAGGAAUCAGCCUCGGCUAACUCCGUGCCAGCAGCCGCGGUAAUACGGAGGAGGCAAGCGUUAUCCGGAAUUAUUGGGCGUAAAGCGUCCGCAGGUGGCGAUUCAAGUCUGCUGUCAAAGCACGGGGCUUAACUCCUUAAAGGCAGUGGAAACUGAAUAGCUAGAGUGCCGUAGGGGUAGAGGGAAUUCCCGGUGUAGCGGUGAAAUGCGUAGAGAUCGGGAAGAACAUCGGUGGCGAAAGCGCUCUACUGGACGGCAACUGACACUCAGGGACGAAAGCUAGGGGAGCGAAUGGGAUUAGAUACCCC
This 660-nucleotide ribosomal RNA is filed under the name uncultured bacterium. RNAcentral's name for it is "bacterial SSU rRNA". It matches the Rfam family "Bacterial small subunit ribosomal RNA", at positions 94 to 788 of the family's 1533-position model. The record is from RNAcentral.